UGGCUCAGGAUGAACGCUGGCGGCGUGCCUAAUACAUGCAAGUCGAACGAGUUCUCGUUGAUGAUCGGUGCUUGCACCGAGAUUCAACAUGGAACGAGUGGCGGACGGGUGAGUAACACGUGGGUAACCUGCCCUUAAGUGGGGGAUAACAUUUGGAAACAGAUGCUAAUACCGCAUAGAUCCAAGAACCGCAUGGUUCUUGGCUGAAAGAUGGCGUAAGCUAUCGCUUUUGGAUGGACCCGCGGCGUAUUAGCUAGUUGGUGAGGUAACGGCUCACCAAGGCGAUGAUACGUAGCCGAACUGAGAGGUUGAUCGGCCACAUUGGGACUGAGACACGGCCCAAACUCCUACGGGAGGCAGCAGUAGGGAAUCUUCCACAAUGGACGCAAGUCUGAUGGAGCAACGCCGCGUGAGUGAAGAAGGCUUUCGGGUCGUAAAACUCUGUUGUUGGAGAAGAAUGGUCGGCAGAGUAACUGUUGUCGGCGUGACGGUAUCCAACCAGAAAGCCACGGCUAACUACGUGCCAGCAGCCGCGGUAAUACGUAGGUGGCAAGCGUUAUCCGGAUUUAUUGGGCGUAAAGCGAGCGCAGGCGGUUUUUUAAGUCUGAUGUGAAAGCCCUCGGCUUAACCGAGGAAGCGCAUCGGAAACUGGGAAACUUGAGUGCAGAAGAGGACAGUGGAACUCCAUGUGUAGCGGUGAAAUGCGUAGAUAUAUGGAAGAACACCAGUGGCGAAGGCGGCUGUCUGGUCUGUAACUGACGCUGAGGCUCGAAAGCAUGGGUAGCGAACAGGAUUAGAUACCUG
This 804-nucleotide ribosomal RNA is filed under the name Lactobacillus casei group sp. Its description in RNAcentral is "bacterial SSU rRNA". It matches the Rfam family "Bacterial small subunit ribosomal RNA", at positions 20 to 789 of the family's 1533-position model. The record is from RNAcentral. Lineage: Bacteria; Bacillati; Bacillota; Bacilli; Lactobacillales; Lactobacillaceae.